CCGGCGAGGUGGGAGAAAUGCGCUAUCCCGGCAUGGGCAGCCGCCACAUCCGCUUCCAUCGCCUAUCUCGAAGAACCCUAAAUUUGUGUAAGAGCCCUAAUUUCCAUUUACAUUUAUCUCAAACUGACAUUUUAUUUUGAAGGAGACUCCAUCCAAUGCGAAUUCAUAUUCGUGCUACCAGCAAAAUCUCAAAAAAUUUAUGGUGUAAUAUCACCACAUUAUAUUAGCAUUAAAGAAUUUCUCUCGUUAAUUAUUAUUUUUUUGGAUUUUUGAGAAUUUGUUUGGUUCUUUCAUUUUUGGUAAUGGUUUGAGACCACGACCCGAUCA
This 327-nucleotide long non-coding RNA is filed under the name Selaginella moellendorffii. RNAcentral's name for it is "long non-coding RNA (SMOE_LNC001962)". Lineage: Eukaryota; Viridiplantae; Streptophyta; Lycopodiopsida; Selaginellales; Selaginellaceae. The record is from RNAcentral.